AUUUAUAUAGUUUAUAAAAAACAUUAUAUUUUCAUCAUAAAAAUAAGAAAAAAUUCUUUAUAAAUA
RNAcentral lists this transfer RNA (66 nucleotides) under Leptocimbex sp. CSCS-Hym-MC0166. Its description in RNAcentral is "tRNA-Glu". Lineage: Eukaryota; Metazoa; Arthropoda; Insecta; Hymenoptera; Cimbicidae. The record is from RNAcentral.